UAAAACGUAGGACGCAAGCGUUAUCCGGAUUUACUGGGCGUAAAGCGCGGGCAGGUGGCAGGCCAAGUUGGAUGUGAAAGCUCCCGGCUCAACUGGGAGAGGCCAUUCAAGACUGGUCGGCUGGAGGGCAGCAGGGGGGCGUGGAAUUCCGGGUGGAGUGGUGAAAUGCGUAGAGAUCCGGAGGAACACCAGAAGCGAAGGCGGCGCCCUGGGCUGCAUCUGACACUGAACCGCGAAGGCGUGGGUAGCGAACGGGAUUAGAAACCCCGGUAGUCCACGCGGUAAACGAUGUCAACUGGGUGUUGGGGGGGUAAAAGCUCUCAGUGCCGAAGCAAACGCGAUAAGUUGACCGCCUGGGGAGUACGGCCGCAAGGCUAAAACUCAAAUGAAUUGACGG
This 397-nucleotide ribosomal RNA is filed under the name uncultured bacterium. RNAcentral's name for it is "bacterial SSU rRNA". It matches the Rfam family "Bacterial small subunit ribosomal RNA", at positions 521 to 916 of the family's 1533-position model. The record is from RNAcentral.